GGGAGAGGAAGGUGUACACUUCAUGUAAGCGAAACAAGCAGUGGAAAGCUUGGGAAACUUAUUUGCUCCAUUUCUUAGCCUGGUAAUCCUGAACUGAAGGCCUCAGCAGUCCUGUAUCAUUGACAUCUCCUUCUAAGAUGCUACAUGGACACCCAGCACACAGUGCCUCAGUAAUAUGGGGAGUGUCUCCUGUGCAGUGUUGAUGCGGACAGCAAAAUACAGCUGUUAGAUCUUGGCAGAGUAAUGCCCAUGUGAAGAGAAAUCAAGCCCAUGGCUCCUUCGUGGGCCAGAUGGCCUCUCAGACCUGAGGGUCGGGCUCUGAUCUCGUUGCCACAAGGCUGGAUCCACCGCAGUGUCACGUCACCCUUCGUCUUGCUUGAGUCCCUCAGCUGAUGCAGGCACUGGAUGCUUCCUGCAGCAUGAAACCAGGACUCUUGAGGGCUGCGGAGGAGCUGGCUGUUCCCCUCUAGGGCAGCCACAGUCACUCCCACCAGGGAAAACAUCAGCAUGGAGAAUACGGGAAUGUUGAACUCCUUCAGGAGUGGGCAUUUGUCUGCCAACUCCCUGCCACCAUGUGAACUUAAUGCAGAGGAGGAAUUCAAGGAAGGAAAGGUUCCCAGCCAGGAAGCACAGAUGUGCUGGUGAGAAGACAGCCGUGCCAAUCCCAGCAGACAGCUCCAUGCAUGUACGGAGCGAACAUGAAGCAAAUCCUUGAACGAGGCUUCCCCGAGCCAUGCUGGUGGCUCAGCAACUGCAGCUUGGAGCCACCGUGCUGCUGAUAGCUCGGUGACAGUUUCACAGGCUGUCAGUGACCGUCGUGCCUGAGUGGGCCAGCUGAAGGGUAGAAAUCUUGACAGAACACCACAACCCUACCAGAUCUCGACGUCUGAACAAAAUGAAUGCAGAAACCCACUGAAAGCAGAGAGGGGGCUGAUGCUGGCAUUGAUAGGCAGCAGGCUGUGCCUCUGCAGCUUCUGGUUCCUGGUCACCCCAUCCUGCAGCCGCAGAGAUCUGGAGUGUUUCACCCAGGUGACAGAGGCCACCAGCAAGAAACAAAUAAGAGAGAUGACAAAGUACUCCUGAAUGCCACUGUCCAGCCAGUUCUAAAAGUGAAGGGUUGUGCUUGGCAUUACACAAUUUGUUUCUAGGUACAUCUACAUGAGCAUUUCAGCUGUGGUCAUCAGUACUUUUAUGAAGCAUGCAGUUCCAGCACGCAUUGCUGCAUGGCCUCAGAAGCUGGAUUUGGGGCAAGGUGAACCGGGAGAUGCCCUGUUUUACCCACCGCAGCACAGUGAGCCCAAGUGAUGGGAAGAGAGUUUGAAUGGAAGCCACUGUCUGGAGCACUGCUGUGGUAUCAAUCCAUUACCCCUGCCUCUGCAUACUGCAGAUUGCAGAAUUUCAUUCGCUAAGACCUGUGUGGAGCCUGAUAACUUUUGUUUAACUACAUAAAUCCAUAAAAGUGUUUAUUCUUGACUUGAAGACACAAAUAACCUAUUGCUUUCCUGGGCCAUUUCUCCUAUUGUUUGACUACCUUUGUAUUGAAAAAGAAAUCUGCAUUUUAAUCUUAAACAUAAUUUUGUUUCAGGAGCAGCUUCACUGGAAGUUAUUAUGCUCCUUCUUUUGAACCAAAUGUUUUUUUAGUGAACCAAACCCUCUCUGCUUGUGGAUCUUAAUAUACCUUUGCAGUUCAAUAAGUGGUUCGACUUCUGUCAACUUCAGCCUGCCAGAUCAUUUCUCGGUCCCCGAAAUCAUGGAUCCUCUUUGCUGCGCGUGUUAGAAGAGAAGAGCUCUGCAAGGUCCGGGAGCAGGCUGCCGUCGAAGGCAUGAGGAAAAUGGCAUCAAAAGAGGUAUUGGGAGUAACUGCUGAAGUCUCUAGUGCUACAGCAAUGAAAUACUGGAAUUGGGUGUCUGAAAUAAAUCUGUUUCAACUGAGCUCUGGCUCAAAAGCAGGUUACUGUGGCUUAAUGAAUUAUCCUGUGUUCGCUGAACAACAUGUGUCCUUACAUAAAAGAAAACCAUACUGUCUGAGUCGUGUGGCUACAGCUGAGGACCGAGGCUGCUGUAACAGCGGUGACAGAGCUGCGAACAAAAGUUCCAAGGAAAUAGAAGCUUCAGAGGAGGCUGUUGGCAGAAUGUGACCUUUCAGAGAAAUGCAGCCCCAUACCUGACAGUUUAGGGCUGCUCAGGCACGGCACACGUUGCAGCGAUGCUGGCGGGGGCUCAGCUGACGGUGGGACCUUCCAGCUAACGUUGGACACAAAGAGCAACUGACCUCAUGUCUCAAGGUGACAACUCCAGUGGGGCUCAAGUGCCCACUGCUAUUUAUUAGGUGCAUUUUUUACAGAGCUUCCAAAACGUUUUGUUACUGGCUUUUGCCUUUUGCGCCCUGGUGUGAACAACUGGUCUGUGGGGCUGAGCAGGAGCAACAGCUGGGGUUUUACAGUUUGAUUAUACCAUUUACUCACACUUCUUCGGUUGAGUGCAUUAUGCUGCGUCCUGCAAAGAGGCACAAUUGCUCUUGCUGCAGAAGGUAAAGCAAAUCAGACAUGUCAGUCUCCCUUGUUGCUCAACACAGCCACUAAUGACUGCAGCAUAUGUAGCUGCUUCCCAGGCCACUAGGAGCUCGAUGCAUCUGUUACUCCUGCGGGAGCAAAGCCCUGAUUGUCAAUACCAUCAUCCCCAUGCUCUUUAGUCAGCAGAACCAUGGUGAUGUUAGCCCUCGUGUUAGCUGGUCCCAGGGUGGCAGCUCAAGAAGGAUUGUGUUGGAGAGGGAGCGCUGGGAAACCUAUGGAGUAUUAGGUAGCAGCUGGGGACCAUGACACACUCAUCUGUAAUACACAAAUGAUGUAAGCACCUUGCAGAAAUCCCAGCCCAGAAAUAAAAUGGUUGCAAAUUGCAGAUGUUAUAUUAA
Non-coding RNA from Anas platyrhynchos (mallard), 2911 nucleotides. The record is from RefSeq and is a predicted model, not a curated record. NCBI's taxonomy places the organism in Eukaryota, Metazoa, Chordata, Aves, Anseriformes, Anatidae.